Non-coding RNA from Streptomyces sp. IB2014 011-1, 132 nucleotides. The record is from Rfam. NCBI's taxonomy places the organism in Bacteria, Bacillati, Actinomycetota, Actinomycetes, Kitasatosporales, Streptomycetaceae.
GGCUCUUUUCUUUGCUGCGGAGCUGGACCGUCCACUGCGAUGAAGGUCGCCUACAUCGACCAGUACAAGGAGACGUUCGGCGUCCAGCCGAUCUGCGACGUCCUCGCCGAGACGGACGCGCCGAUCGCGCCG